GAUGAACGCUGGCGGCGUGCCUAACACAUGCAAGUCGAGCGAUUUACUUCGGUAAAGAGCGGCGGACGGGUGAGUAACGCGUGGGUAACCUGCCCUGUACACACGGAUAACAUACCGAAAGGUAUGCUAAUACGAGAUAAUAUGCUUUUAUCGCAUGGUAGAAGCAUCAAAGCUUUUGCGGUACAGGAUGGACCCGCGUCUGAUUAGCUAGUUGGUAAGGUAACGGCUUACCAAGGCGACGAUCAGUAGCCGACCUGAGAGGGUGAUCGGCCACAUUGGAACUGAGACACGGUCCAAACUCCUACGGGAGGCAGCAGUGGGGAAUAUUGCACAAUGGGCGAAAGCCUGAUGCAGCAACGCCGCGUGAGCGAUGAAGGCCUUCGGGUCGUAAAGCUCUGUCCUCAAGGAAGAUAAUGACGGUACUUGAGGAGGAAGCCCCGGCUAACUACGUGCCAGCAGCCGCGGUAAGAGUCACGUCG
RNAcentral lists this ribosomal RNA (479 nucleotides) under uncultured bacterium. Its description in RNAcentral is "bacterial SSU rRNA". It matches the Rfam family "Bacterial small subunit ribosomal RNA", at positions 28 to 534 of the family's 1533-position model. The record is from RNAcentral.